Molecule: ribosomal RNA, 1059 nt
Filed under: Triticum aestivum (bread wheat)
Lineage: Eukaryota; Viridiplantae; Streptophyta; Magnoliopsida; Poales; Poaceae
Description: partial small subunit ribosomal RNA
Source: RNAcentral
AUGGGAGGUCUUGGGAAAACCUCUCUUGUUCGAAGCAUCUACCGGAGCCAAGAACUUGGUGGCUGGAAGCGUGUUUGGGCCACUUCAUUGCGUCCUUUUAAGCCAGAAGUACUCCUUAGAGAUUUGGCUUUGCAGCUUCAGAAUACUAUCCAAGAAGAUCCCGCUGGAGCAACAACUGGGGCACAGAAGAAAAGCAUAUCAGUGAUGAAUCUUCAAGAGUUGAAGCAGGAAAUAGCUCGGGUACUAAAAAGGAAAAGGUGCCUUGUUGUUCUUGAUGAUAUAUUAUCCACCUCUGAGUGGGAGUUGGUCAAAUCGUGUUUGGAUAAUGCUGGAAGGAUCAUAGUCACCACAAGAGAAAACAGUAUUGCCAAACAUUGUUCAGCAGAGGACAAAAACAGGUACCAUCUUGGUGGUCUGAAAGAGGAUGCUGCACUUGACCUCUUAAAAAAGAAGGUAUUCAAGAACAAUAGUGAAAAAACAGAUUUAGUCCCAGCUAUGCUGGAGCAAGCAAGGCCUAUCCUGCAGAAAUGUGGUGGACUUCCCCUUGCAAUAUCGACUAUCGGUGGAUUCCUUUCCACUAAGCCAAAAACUGCUAAUGAAUGGAGGAAGAUGAGCGAUGGCAUUAGUAUUGAAUUGGAGAUGAAUCCUGAGCUUAGGACAAUAAAGACAAUUCUUAUGAGGAGCUAUGAUGGCUUGCCAUACCAUCUCAAGUCUGCUUUCUUAUACCUAUCCAUAUUUCAAGAAGACCAGAGAAUUAGGUGGGGUCGCUUGGCGGGGCGGUGGACUGCAGAGGGUUACUCAAGAGAUAUGCAUGGCAUGACUGCAAUUGAACUUUGUCGGAGGUACUUUGAUGAGCUCUUGGAUAGGAGUAUGAUUCUGCCAGGGGAAGGGACAAAGCAAUACAGUCAGAAAAUCAAUUCCUGCCAACUUCAUGAUAUGAUCCGUGAAAUAUGCAUCUCAAAGGCUAGGGAGGAAAACCUUGUUUUCACGCUGGAGGAAGGAUGUUGUUUGAGUGACACACAAGGUGCAAUACGUCAUCUUGUCAUUGGCAGCAACUAG